AACGAACGCUGGCGGCAUGCCUAACACAUGCAAGUCGAACGAGACCUUCGGGUCUAGUGGCGCACGGGUGCGUAACGCGUGGGAACCUGCCCUUAGGUUCGGAAUAACUCCCCGAAAGGGGUGCUAAUACCGGAUAAUGUCUUCGGUCCAAGGAUUUAUCGCCUUUGGAUGGGCCCGCGUUGGAUUAGCUAGUUGGUAGGGUAAAAGCCUACCAAGGCGACGAUCCAUAGCUGGUCUGAGAGGAUGAUCAGCCACACUGGGACUGAGACACGGCCCAGACUCCUACGGGAGGCAGCAGUGGGGAAUAUUGGACAAUGGGCGAAAGCCUGAUCCAGCAAUGCCGCGUGAGUGAUGAAGGCCUUAGGGUUGUAAAGCUCUUUUACCCGGGAUGAUAAUGACAGUACCGGGAGAAUAAGCUCCGGCUAACUCCGUG
This 433-nucleotide ribosomal RNA is filed under the name uncultured bacterium. RNAcentral describes it as "partial 16S ribosomal RNA". It matches the Rfam family "Bacterial small subunit ribosomal RNA", at positions 29 to 507 of the family's 1533-position model. The record is from RNAcentral.